GAUGAACGCUGGCGGCGUGCCUAAUACAUGCAAGUCGAGCGAACAGACGAGGAGCUUGCUCCUCUGACGUUAGCGGCGGACGGGUGAGUAACACGUGGAUAACCUACCUAUAAGACUGGGAUAACUUCGGGAAACCGGAGCUAAUACCGGAUAAUAUAUUGCACCGCAUGGUUCAAUAGUGAAAGACGGUUUUGCUGUCACUUAUAGAUGGAUCCGCGCCGCAUUAGCUAGUUGGUAAGGUAACGGCUUACCAAGGCAACGAUGCGUAGCCGACCUGAGAGGGUGAUCGGCCACACUGGAACUGAGAAACGGUCCAGACUCCUACGGGAGGCAGCAGUAGGGAAUCUUCCGCGAUGGGCGAAAGCCUGACGGAGCAAAGCCGCGUGAGUGAUGAAGGUCUUCGGAUCGUAAAACUCUGUUAUUAGGGAAGAACAAAUGUGUAAGUAACUAUGCACGUCUUGACGGUACCUAAUCAGAAAGCCACGGCUAACUACGUG
Molecule: ribosomal RNA, 497 nt
Filed under: uncultured bacterium
Lineage: Bacteria
Description: partial 16S ribosomal RNA
Rfam family: Bacterial small subunit ribosomal RNA
Source: RNAcentral